CUUAAGUAGUUUAUGUAAAAUAUUAAUUUGUGGGAUUAAAGAGAUAGCUUGUUAUCUUAAGUAA
Molecule: transfer RNA, 64 nt
Filed under: Coleoptera sp. ACP-2013
Lineage: Eukaryota; Metazoa; Arthropoda; Insecta; Coleoptera
Description: tRNA-His
Source: RNAcentral